This 65-nucleotide transfer RNA is filed under the name human gut metagenome. It matches the Rfam family "tRNA", at positions 5 to 66 of the family's 71-position model. From Rfam's summary of the family: Transfer RNA (tRNA) molecules are approximately 80 nucleotides in length. Their secondary structure includes four short double-helical elements and three loops (D, anti-codon, and T loops). RNAcentral also lists the same sequence under 2 other names. The record is from RNAcentral.
CGAUAGCUCAGUCGGUAGAGCAGAGGACUGAAAAUCCUCGUGUCGCUGGUUCGAUUCCGGCUCGA